UACGUAGGGGGCAAGCGUUGUCCGGAAUCAUUGGGCGUAAAGCGCGUGUAGGCGGCUAGGUAAGUCUGUUCUGAAAGUCCAAGGCUCAACCUUGGGAUGCGGAUGGAUACUGCCGAGCUCGAGUCCGGAAGAGGCGAGUGGAAUUCCUGGUGUAGCGGUGAAAUGCGCAGAUAUCAGGAGGAACACCAAUGGCGAAGGCAGCUCGCUGGGACGUGACUGACGCUGAGGAGCGAAAGCCAGGGGAGCAAACGGG
Molecule: ribosomal RNA, 253 nt
Filed under: uncultured bacterium
Lineage: Bacteria
Description: partial 16S ribosomal RNA
Rfam family: Bacterial small subunit ribosomal RNA
Source: RNAcentral